Molecule: transfer RNA, 84 nt
Filed under: Candidatus Kaiserbacteria bacterium
Lineage: Bacteria; Candidatus Kaiseribacteriota
Description: tRNA-Leu
Rfam family: tRNA
About the family: Transfer RNA (tRNA) molecules are approximately 80 nucleotides in length. Their secondary structure includes four short double-helical elements and three loops (D, anti-codon, and T loops).
Source: RNAcentral
GCCCAGGUGGUGUAAUCGGUAGCCACGCAAGACUUAAAAUUUUGUGAUCGUAAGGUCGUGCGGGUUCAAGUCCCGCCCUGGGCA